CUUUAUUCUCUCUCUCUCUCUCUGGUUGGUAGGUGUUUACUGAUGAUUGAAAAAUUCCAAUGUAGUCAUUCGUUCACAUUGUUUCAUUAGUGGAUUAACAGGACGAGUCUUGUUCUUUCUUUCCCAUCCUUUUUCCUCUGUUCAGUUAUGAAUGGCUGUUUAAGCAGGACGGAGUGGUUCAUCCUGUUUUAGGUAUCGGAGUGGCGGUCAUUGCCAGUUCGGGCAAAGCGAAACACCUGCAUACAAAAAAGCCUACUGUUUCUGUUCGAACAGUAGACUUCAAUUUGUUAACAAGACGACAGGAAAAACAGAUUGUUUAUUGAUGUCUAAUAAGGAAAUGAAUCAAACGAUGACGCAUUCCGAUUUGGAAGGAUGUUUGCAAAUGUUUCUUGGAGUUUGGCGAUAAGUAAUUGCGCCUAUAGACUGUUAAUACUUCCUAUCAGAAUGAGUGCACAGCCAACUCUUAAUGCUGCUAAUAUCCGCCCGCAUGAUAAAGAAAAACGUUUAGAAAAAAAAAGCGCUAGUGCAUUUACCCUCAGAGUGGUUUUGGCACAGAAAAAAAAAAGAAAGAUAUACGUGACGAGUCGCAUUUUUCGUUACUAAUUUUUUUUCGUUCGCUUUUUUUUUUAUGGAAGUCGCAGCUAGAUUUAGUUUGUCAGGAUUAGUUAGGUGUGUUGAAAGUAGUUCUCCCUGACUCGAAAGAGACGUCGGGAAGGCGAAGGACGGCUCCGUUCGUAUUGUGAACGAGUCUUCUGAACAUCUGUUUUUUAUCACCGUUUUAGCAGACAACACUCCAGUGUUGAAAACUCGGAAAUAAAUAAAAAAUCAGUUGAAGUGUUGGAGUCUAUGCCGAUAAAUAGAACCAAGUGGCAUCGACGGCUAGAAAACGAAAAACUGUACAAUUCCGAAAACAGAUUGAAGUUCGGCAUUGACCUGGUUACAGGCCGUCUUACCAUAUGUAGACAGCAAUUGAAAAAUCUUCUUCUUAAACGGUUUUCUUUUUUUCUUUUUUAUUUUAUUUCUUAAAUUAAAUUGUUUCUAGGACAUUUUGGCGGUGUUUUUCUUUUUAUUAUUAUUUCUUUCUAUUGUGUAUAACAGCGAGAAGUACCGAUUCUGCGGUCGUAAAAUUUAGGACAGGAAUCUGGCGUAUCUCAUCCCUUACUCGAUCCUCUUCAGAGGUGUGGUUUUAAACGGCUUUUCCACCUGCUUUUUGACCAUUUUUAUACACGGAUUUUGUUUUUUUUUUUUUUUGUUUGUUUGUAGGCCAACGUCAUUGAGACAAUUU
RNAcentral lists this long non-coding RNA (1285 nucleotides) under Androctonus crassicauda. The record is from RNAcentral. Lineage: Eukaryota; Metazoa; Arthropoda; Arachnida; Scorpiones; Buthidae.